This 497-nucleotide ribosomal RNA is filed under the name uncultured bacterium. RNAcentral's name for it is "partial 16S ribosomal RNA". It matches the Rfam family "Bacterial small subunit ribosomal RNA", at positions 28 to 507 of the family's 1533-position model. The record is from RNAcentral.
GAUGAACGCUGGCGGCGUGCCUAAUACAUGCAAGUCGAGCGAACAGACGAGGAGCUUGCUCCUCUGACGUUAGCGGCGGACGGGUGAGUAACACGUGGAUAACCUACCUAUAAGACUGGGAUAACUUCGGGAAACCGGAGCUAAUACCGGAUAAUAUAUUGAACCGCAUGGUUCAAUAGUGAAAGACGGUUUUGCUGUCACUUAUAGAUGGAUCCGCGCCGCAUUAGCGAGUUGGUAAGGUAACGGCUUACCAAGGCAACGAUGCGUAGCCGACCUGAGAGGGUGAUCGGCCGCACUGGAACUGAGACACGGUCCAGACUCCUACGGGAGGCAGCAGUAGGGAAUCUUCCGCAAUGGGCGAAAGCCUGACGGAGCAACGCCGCGUGAGUGAUGAAGGUCUUCGGAUCGUAAAACUCUGUUAUUAGGGAAGAACAAAUGUGUAAGUAACUAUGCACGUCUUGACGGUACCUAAUCAGAAAGCCACGGCUAACUACGUG